RNAcentral lists this long non-coding RNA (723 nucleotides) under Homo sapiens (human). RNAcentral describes it as "HSALNT0346839". The record is from RNAcentral. Lineage: Eukaryota; Metazoa; Chordata; Mammalia; Primates; Hominidae.
CUUUCCCAUGCUAUUCUCGUGGUGGUGAAUAAGUCUCACAAGAUCUGACGGGUUUAUCAGGGGUUUCCGCUUUUGCUUCUUCCUCAUUUUUCUCUUGCCCCUUGCCACGCAAGAAGUGCCUUUUGCCUCCCACCAUAAUUCUGAGGCCUCCCCAACCAUGUGGAACUGCCUAUCUGUUUGCAAGUCUGCACUGUUUGAGAACCUCUUGAAAGCCCCACAGAGCUUGUUGGUGUCACCCUGGUUCUGGGCACACUCCAAAAACUGUUUGAUCUCAUGGAAACAAGGCUGCUGCUGCUGUGCUGGCCAGGUUCCCUGAUGCUGCUGAUGGAGUCUCACUUUGUCACCAAGCUGGAGUGUGGUGGCAUGAUCUUGGCUCACUGCAACCUCCCAGGUUCAAGCUAUUCUCCUGCCUCAGCCUCCCGAGUAGCUGGGACUACAGGCGCACGCCACCACACCCAGCUAAUUUUUGUAUUUUUAGUAGAGACAGGGUUUCACCAUGUUCGCCAGGGUGGUCUCUAUUUCUUGACCUCGUGAUUUGCCCACCUUGGCCUUCCAAAGUGCUGGGAUUACAGGCAUGAGUCACUGUGCCCGGCCUAAUUUUGAUUUUUUAAAACAUUUAAUUAAAAUGUUAUUUAAUUACUGAGUUUUUGGUAUCCCUGUCAUUUUUGUGCCCUGGGAAAGAAAGUACCUCCCCACCUUACCCAGCCCUGGCCCUGCUGGAGA